AUGAUCCUAAAUCUAGAUACAAAGAAAAAAAAUGAGGGAUGCAACAAAAAUGGUAACGAAGGGGAUGAUGACCCUAUUGAUGCAAAGGAGGAAGAAAGUGUGGAAUCUGAUGAAUUAGAGGAUAACACAUUGCUGACUGAGACUAUGGCUGUGGAGGCUUACAACAAAGAAAAAAUGCAGGGGUCUCGGGCAAUGCUGGGUAUUGAUGAUACCAAUCAUAAUGCUGAUGAGAUUCGGGUGGUGGAAAUUGAGGGAGAGGACCUUUCCAAGUUGGGGAAAUCAGAAUAUCUAGUACAAUAUCCUACCUCUUCUUCUAAGGAUGUGGGAGAGGUGAUCCCUACUCCUCCCCUUUUGUCUGAAGAGGUCCAGAGAUUUAGCUUGAGGAACUUGUAG
RNAcentral lists this ribosomal RNA (393 nucleotides) under Triticum aestivum (bread wheat). RNAcentral's name for it is "partial small subunit ribosomal RNA". Lineage: Eukaryota; Viridiplantae; Streptophyta; Magnoliopsida; Poales; Poaceae. The record is from RNAcentral.